Long non-coding RNA from Bos taurus (domestic cattle), 745 nucleotides. Lineage: Eukaryota; Metazoa; Chordata; Mammalia; Artiodactyla; Bovidae. The record is from Ensembl.
GCCCGCGCCCGCGCCUUAACUCUCGGCGCGCCGGGGCCGGGGCCGGGGGUCCGCGUGCGCACCCCCGAGGGCCGACCCGGGCUGGGGCUCCGGCGCCGGGCGCGGGCUCCAGACCUCGCCGAGACCCGGCUCGGGACCGGCCAAGGCCAGGGAGCCGCUCAGCUGCGUUCGCCUUCUGAAUUCUCCAGCUUGGAGGGAAGCAGACAGGGAGGGGGGCCACUUGCCAGAAUUCACAAAGUUUGUUGAGUGCCACGGAUUGAAAGAAGGGAGAGGUGGGCCCUGCCCUGAAGGUGCCCAGAUCUUCUCUGGACUGAAGGAGCUUCAAAACCCUUUCUGCUUCUGAUCAUGUAGGAAAAUACAUAAAUAAAAGUUAGACAUGCACUGUCGUUGACUCCACGAUUCCUUGUGAUCAGUAUCGUCCCUGUUUUCUACAUGAAGAGCCUGAAGCUGCGUGGAACAUGGUCACUAACCCAGAGUAAGGCAGCUUUCAAGUUGUGAUGUGUGAAUUUGUUUUCUCUGAAGGAGCAUACAGGAACCGGAGCUGGCUGGGAAUCUGGGCUGCACCUCGGUUACCCAGCAUAAACUCACAGACUCUGAGGGCUGGACCUGAAUCGGUCAUCUAUUCUAGUCCCUGUUUCAGUUUUUAAGUCUUUGCUGCUUCCCCCACAGUGGUCACCUGGCCCAAGUUUGACGUUUCUCAGAUGGGAGACCCACUACUUUUGCGGAGCCCAGAGCUGGGGAAAGU